UGGAGCCACGGGGGGCAGCAGUAGGGAAUCUUCCACAAUGGGCGAAAGCCUGAUGGAGCAACGCCGCGUGGGUGAAGAAGGUCUUCGGAUCGUAAAACCCUGUUGUUAGAGAAGAAAGUGCGUGAGAGUAACUGUUCACGUUUCGACGGUAUCUAACCAGAAAGCCACGGCUAACUACGUGCCAGCAGCCGCGGUAAUACGUAGGUGGCAAGCGUUAUCCGGAUUUAUUGGCGUAAAGGGAACGCAGGCGGUCUUUUAAAGCU
RNAcentral lists this ribosomal RNA (263 nucleotides) under uncultured bacterium. Its description in RNAcentral is "partial 16S ribosomal RNA". It matches the Rfam family "Bacterial small subunit ribosomal RNA", at positions 332 to 590 of the family's 1533-position model. The record is from RNAcentral.